UAGGAGACUUCAGGCUAAGGUAAACAAAGGCAAGGAAACAUGGUACGAACACCUUGUUGUGAUACGAGCGGACUAAGGAAAGGAACCUGGACGCCCGAGGAAGAUAGGAAACUGAUUGCCUAUGUCACCAGAUAUGGCUGCUGGAAUUGGCGACAACUCCCCAAGUAUGCAGGUCUGCAAAGAUGUGGGAAGAGUUGCCGGCUGCGAUGGCUGAAUUAUUUAAGGCCCAACAUCAAAGAGGGAAUUACAGCGCGAAGAAGAAGAGACAAUCCUCAGAUUACAUGAGAAACUAGGGAACAGUUGGUCCGCCAUUGCUGCACAGUUACCAGUCGAACAGACAACGAGGUGAAGAACCACUGGCAUACGAAUCUCAAGAAACGCUUCAAGGACAAGCCGAUGGAAGCUAAAGAUGACAGUAAAAAAGAAUCAGUUGAAGUGCAUAA
Long non-coding RNA from Hibiscus syriacus, 443 nucleotides. RefSeq lists it as uncharacterized. The record is from RefSeq and is a predicted model, not a curated record. The transcript has 6 exons. Lineage: Eukaryota; Viridiplantae; Streptophyta; Magnoliopsida; Malvales; Malvaceae.